Long non-coding RNA from Juglans regia (Persian walnut), 667 nucleotides. RefSeq lists it as uncharacterized. The record is from RefSeq and is a predicted model, not a curated record. The transcript is spliced from 3 exons. Lineage: Eukaryota; Viridiplantae; Streptophyta; Magnoliopsida; Fagales; Juglandaceae.
GAGAAAUCCCUCAAGCCCAACCGUACGACCUACGUCCCAUUCUCUCCCAUUUCCAUUUCUCUUCCAAUCUCAAGCCAAGCAUCUAUCAUUCAUUCUUCUCAAGAGGAAAAUAGUAAGGUAAUGGCGAAAAGGCUGGAGAGCAAGGUAUUACUAUAGAGGGAGAGGCAGACGCUUAGUGUCUUCCCUGUUGGUUCGACUUUGCAUGGAUGAUGGGUUAUGUUUAUGGGUGUUGCUUUUAUGUUGGGACAGAGUCUCUUCCUAACUAAAAUAGUUAUGUUUUUAUGAACGUACGAUGGACUCUAAGAGUCUUUCAUGGAUGAAUGUUCGAAUAGAAUGUCUAUCAGGUAUUCCCUUUAUUAAAUAAUAAAUUUAGAGUACACGUGUGUUACAAAUCUUGGUAUCAGAGCAAAAGGUUAUAAGGUCUUGUAGACUUUAGGGAUGAACUAAGCUGAAGUCAUCUCUCUAAAGUAUGCCAAGCUUCGCAGCAAGUUUAAAAGGUAAUGACAAAAAGGCUGGGGAGGAAGGCAUUACUGCAGAGGGAGAGGUAGACGCUUAGUGUCUUCCAUGUUGGUUCGACUUUGCAUGGAUGAUGGGUUAUAUUUUUGGGUGUUGCUUUUAUGUUUGGACGGAGUCUCUUCCUAACUAGAAUAGUUAUGUUUUUAUGAAC